AAGUUGUUGCGGUUAAAAAGCUCGUAGUUGGAUCUGUGUGACACGCUGUCGGUUCACUGUUUUGAUGGUGUUUAACUGACAUGUCGUGGCACGUCCUGCCGGUUGGUAACGUGUUCUCCUUUCGGGGUGUUAUGCGUUUACCAGUUCCAAUCCUGUCGCGGUGCUCUUCACCGAGUGUCGAGGCGGGCCGGCACGUUUACCUUGAACAAAUUUGAGUGCUUAAAGCAGGCUUAUAUUGCCGGAAAACUGUGUGCAUGGAAUAAUAUAAUAGGACUUCGGUUCUAUUUUGUUGGUUUUCAGAAUCCGAGGUAAUGAUUAAAAGGGCCUGGCGGGGGCAUUAGUAUUGCGACGUGAGAGGUGAAAUUCUUGGACCGUCGCAAGACUAACUGAAGCGAAAGCGUUUGCCAAGAAUGCUUCCAUUAAUCAAGAACGAAAGUUAGAGGUUCGAAGGCGAUCAGAUACCGCCCUAGUUCUAACCAUAAAUGAUGCCAGCCAGCGAUCCGUCGUCGCUCUUUUAUGACGUGACGGGCAGCUUCAGGGAAACUAAAGCUUUUGGGUUCCGGGGGAAGUAUGGUUGCAAAGCUGAAACUUAAAGGAAUUGACGGAAAGGCACCACCAGGAGUGGAGCCUGCGGCUUAAUUUGACUCAACACGGGAAAUCUCACCAGGCCAGAACACCAGGUGGAUUGACAGAUUGAGAGCUCUUUCUUGAUUUGGUGGG
This 720-nucleotide ribosomal RNA is filed under the name Trichadenotecnum circularoides. RNAcentral describes it as "bacterial SSU rRNA". It matches the Rfam family "Eukaryotic small subunit ribosomal RNA", at positions 607 to 1274 of the family's 1831-position model. The record is from RNAcentral. Lineage: Eukaryota; Metazoa; Arthropoda; Insecta; Psocodea; Psocidae.